Long non-coding RNA from Marmota monax (woodchuck), 2106 nucleotides. RefSeq lists it as uncharacterized. The transcript is spliced from 3 exons. Lineage: Eukaryota; Metazoa; Chordata; Mammalia; Rodentia; Sciuridae. The record is from RefSeq and is a predicted model, not a curated record.
AACUGCAUGAGGUGCCUGUUCAAAUACUUCACCUUUAGCAGGUUCAGUGCUUAUCAAAGCUCACAGAAGAGACGUAAGUGCCAGGACAGAACCAGCUCAGCCACAGGGCAAGAUGCGGGGCAGGUCCAGGGAGUCCCUGGAGCCAGGGCCACCGGGUUUCACUCCUGCCAAGGAUGAAAGAGCUCUGGCAGCCAGACACCCAUAAAGGGGGACAUCACCUGGGCUGAUGAAAUGAUUCAAGACAGCUGAUGGAAACACCUACAGCUCAACAAGACCAAACAGAAUAUAAAAAUAGCUGAGAACAUCUGGACGACCAGCAUGUGGGGCUCUGAAACUAGGAACAAUCUCCAUGUGGCCUUGGGAGGCCCAGGAAAUGCUGUCAAAUAUGAAACCCAGCAAAAGCUCCAGAGGAUCAACAGGGAAGGUAGUCGUCCAGUCCUCUGAUUCUGGCUGCUGCGGAGAGUCCCAGGUAGGACCCCGUGGCAGACAGAGGUGUACAAGUGCUCUGGAGAACCCCGCCUGCCCUCCAGGCUGCCCCUGUCUGUGGCCAUCACCGGUGCUGUGUCCCCACCCCCAGUCCCUGCACCUCCCUGGCACUGCCAUGAACCAUCAUCCAGGCCAGGCAGGGCAGCAGGCAGGGGCAGGACCCCAGCCAGGUCUCAGCCCUGUGCACCUGGAACCUGGUCUUCCCUCCAUGAGGGACGACGAAACCAGAGGGGUAUAGCCACACGGGGCCAUUUGUGCCUUCAGAAGCUUGUGCCACGGUGGGGACAAUGGAUGGAUAGAGACUAGGAGGUCAGAGUAGGUUGCCAUCGAGCCAGGAGGGACAAGGUGUGGCGGGCAGUGGACCACACAGGGGAGACGCAGGAGUCAGCACACUCUCUUUCUUGGGAUUCUGAGUUCUGCAGGUCCACUACACUGGGGAGACAAUUUCCUGAGGUUACCCGUGAUUCAAGAAGCCCAAGAGUGUCAUCACUAGAAGUGUCCCUGAAACACCUAUGCCCAAAAGAUAAGGCUACCUGGGGCCGUGGGAUGGGGUGUGAGGUUCUGGGGCCAUGGGGCUCUGGUGGCCUGGCGAGCCCGCCCUCCCACACAGCCUGGCGUCAAGGGCUGCAUCUGCACUCUCCCAGGCCCCCGAACUUCACGAGCCCAAAGUGACUGCCUGGGGAGGUUUGCAGGGGAGAAAGCCAAGCCCAGCAUGUGCUGCCCUGUCCGCUCUGCCAGGUCCCUGGAGCGCCCAGAGGCACGUUGUCCCUGAGAGCACGCGGGUUUAGUAGCCCUGAGGGCAGCGGGCGACUUAGAGGCUCUCCUGCACCUGACUUGCUGGGACUGGGAAGGAUUUGUGAUUCCAGAGCCCCUGGAUGGCCAGAGGGUCAGCUGUGAGGAUUUCAGUGUCCUCUGUGAGCUUGGGGGAGGUUCUGUGCAGCCCAGGGGACAGGUGCCUUGGAGGUGUUGUGUGCAAAACUGACACAGACCCUCGUGAUGGGCCUUUAGUGUGUGCAGGCAGCGGUGUAGCACAGCAGGCCACACCCAGUGGCUUUGGCAGCAGUUUGUCACCAUAUCUCAUGACAGUGAGGAGGGGAUUUCAGAGAGCAGGGCAAGAGCACCACCAGCUUGUCCCGGCCAGGCGGGAGCAGCUGGGUACGAGGCGUCCUUCUCCCCGCACACCUUCCAGCUCUGGGCUGAGGCUCCCUGCUGCCACCUCAUCCCUCGGGGUGAGAAGCUGGGCAGGCUCAGGCAUGCGCUCUGUUUCCAGAUGGGAAGUAGGAGCACUGCGUCCUGAGGCUGGGGCCCGAGAAGGGCCCAGCAUCACUUCCUCCAGUUUCUAUUGGUGAAACAGCCCCAGAGUCCACCCAGGUCCCAAAGGAACAGAUGUGGGCCCACCUCCCAGCCGGAGGAGGGUUGGAGGUGGGGCUGUGACUAUGAUAAAAGACCCACUGACCAACUUAUCAGAAGGAAAGUUCCUGAAUGAAGACACGAGUGGUGUGAAUACGCCUGCUGUACACCAGAGACGUGAAAAAUCAUGCUCUGUGUGGGUGAUGAGAAUUGUGACAUAUUCCGCUGUCACACAUAACAGAUUAGAAUUAAAAAAAAAUUCUGCAGAGU